This 465-nucleotide ribosomal RNA is filed under the name uncultured bacterium. Its description in RNAcentral is "bacterial SSU rRNA". It matches the Rfam family "Bacterial small subunit ribosomal RNA", at positions 329 to 792 of the family's 1533-position model. The record is from RNAcentral.
AGCCAGACUCCUACGGGAGGCAGCAGUGAGGAAUAUUGGUCAAUGGUCGGGAGACUGAACCAGCCAAGCCGCGUGAGGGAGGAAGGUACAGAGUAUCGUAAACCUCUUUUGUCAGGGAACAAAGACUGGGACGCGUCCCCGGAUGAGUGUACCUGAAGAAAAAGCAUCGGCUAACUCCGUGCCAGCAGCCGCGGUAAUACGGAGGAUGCGAGCGUUAUCCGGAUUUAUUGGGUUUAAAGGGUGCGUAGGCGGGACCUUAAGUCAGCGGUAAAAUUGCGGUGCUCAACGCCGUAGAGCCGUUGAAACUGGGGCUCUUGAGUGAGCGAGAAGUAUGCGGAAUGCGUGGUGUAGCGGUGAAAUGCAUAGAUAUCACGCAGAACCCCGAUUGCGAAGGCAGCAUACCGGCGCUCAACUGACGCUGAGGCACGAAAGUGCGGGUAUCGAACAGGAUUAGAUACCCGCGUA